Pantherophis guttatus is the source of this 1090-nucleotide long non-coding RNA. RefSeq lists it as uncharacterized. The record is from RefSeq and is a predicted model, not a curated record. Lineage: Eukaryota; Metazoa; Chordata; Lepidosauria; Squamata; Colubridae.
UCUUAUCUAUUAAAAUGGAUUGAAAGUAAAACAAGGAAGACGUUUGACUGUGUCAGUUCAGAUGUAUUAUUAUAAUAUGAUAUUAUGAUGCUUCUUGGUCUGUCCGGUAUCACCACCUGAAAUCAGCCAUCCCUUCAUUUAGCCUUGUAACAGGGGAUCUAACAGUGAUCUGCUGUAAGUAUUGAAUGAAAAAAACUGAAACAGAAAGAAUCAUAAACGGAGCACAACAGACUCAAAGGCAGUUUUUGAGCCUUCAAACACUAUUGGAAAGAAAAUGGGAUUGUUAUCUUGCUAUUAUCAAUAUUGAUUUAUAGUCUCAGAUGCUGACCUAGAAAGCAGCAGACUGUGAAUUUUAGUCCCACCAUAAGGAUGAAAGCUGACUGGAUGACUUUGGGCCAACCACUCUCUCUCAGCCCAAUUUAACUCACCAUGUUUUUGUAAGGAAAAUAGGAAAGAUAUGCCAGGAUGUCAGAUUUUCAAAACAGGAAACAGGAAUCACAUUAUAGCUCCAGCUCAGUAGAAUCUCAUCUACUCGGUUCUGGUCCCAGAAACUUUUCUUUCCCUGCACAUGACGGCAAGAAACGUGACAGAGAAAUGCAAUGGACCUGGAAAUCAGCUUCCAGAUCUUGGCUAUGAUCUUGGGAUACCAUGGUUCUCUUCUUUUCUAUGUGGACAAUGGAGUCAGUGAUCAUUGGGAGAAAUCCAGCCUUUAAGAUAAAAUAUUCCGGUGAAGGAAUAAUAUGCGGUCUUCCAGAUGUGAUUGCUCCCAGGAACUCCCACCAUUUGCCAUAUAGCCUAAAGCAGAGAACAGCUGCAGUUUAACCAUCUAAGGCCAUUCUUUCUUUAUCUGUCAAACAGACAGAUAGCUAAGGACGUUCGUGUGAGCAUCCUGGAUGUCUUCCUUUUCAAACAAUUUAAUUUUGCUUAACAUUCUCUAUGUUUAGAUGUUAAAACAUGCUCAAGUAACUAUUAUGUUUUGCUUUAAGACAAAUGGGUAGUAAAGAAGCAAUUUUAGAAUCACAAACAUUCAAACAAUAUCACUGAUAUAAAUGAGAAUCACAACUGAUUAAACUACGUCAUUCUGAAAAAA